This 253-nucleotide ribosomal RNA is filed under the name uncultured bacterium. RNAcentral's name for it is "partial 16S ribosomal RNA". It matches the Rfam family "Archaeal small subunit ribosomal RNA", at positions 474 to 727 of the family's 1478-position model. The record is from RNAcentral.
UACCAGCACCCCGAGUGGUCGGGACGAUUAUUGGGCCUAAAGCAUCCGUAGCCGGUUUUACAAGUCCUCCGUUAAAUCCAACUGCUUAACAGAUGGGCCGCGGAGGAUACUGUAAGACUAGGAGGCAGGAGAGGCAAGCGGUACUCAGUGGGUAGGGGUAAAAUCCGUUGAUCCAUUGAAGACCACCAGUGGCGAAGGCGGCUUGCCAGAAUGCGCUCGACGGUGAGGGAUGAAAGCUGGGGGAGCAAACCGG